RNAcentral lists this ribosomal RNA (254 nucleotides) under uncultured prokaryote. Its description in RNAcentral is "partial 16S ribosomal RNA". It matches the Rfam family "Bacterial small subunit ribosomal RNA", at positions 524 to 776 of the family's 1533-position model. The record is from RNAcentral.
CACGUAGGGGGCGAGCGUUGUCCGGAUUUAUUGGGCGUAAAGAGCUCGUAGGCGGCUCGGUAAGUCAGGUGUGAAACCUCUGGGCUCAACCCAGAGACGCCACCUGAUACUGCUGUGGCUAGAGUCCGGUAGGGGAGCGUGGAAUUCCUGGUGUAGCGGUGAAAUGCGCAGAUAUCAGGAGGAACACCAGCGGCGAAGGCGGCGCUCUGGGCCGGAACUGACGCUGAGGAGCGAAAGCGUGGGGAGCGAACAGG